Molecule: ribosomal RNA, 243 nt
Filed under: uncultured prokaryote
Description: partial 16S ribosomal RNA
Rfam family: Bacterial small subunit ribosomal RNA
Source: RNAcentral
UCUCCGAAGAUAAUGACGGUAGGAGAGGAAUAAGGGGCGGCAAACUUCGUGCCAGCAGCCGCGGUAAUACGAAGGCCCCAAGCGUUAUCCGGAAUUACUGGGCGUAAAGCGUCUGUAGGUGGUUUGGAAAGUUUCAUGUGAAACUUCGGGGCUCAACCCCGAAUUGCGUGGAAAACUAUCGAACUUGAGUGCGGGAGAGGCAAGCAGAACUGUAUGAGUAGGGGUGCAAUCCGUUGAUACAUA